AAAGAAAUAAACACCCCUAAAUUGAGAACCAAACAGGAAGAAGCAGCUGGCAGGACUGUGGAAAGUUUUGUAAUUCUGGCAAAGGUGAGGCAAGCCAAGGACACAGCAGGAGUCUGACAGAGCAAAAUUAAAAUUCCAAUGAAGUCUGAAUCACAUCCAAGAGUCCUAGGUGCGGGACAACUGAGUGUUUUGAUAGUACCGCUAUGUUGGGGCGCGCUGUGUGAGAGCUUGGUUUACAUGAAAAUCAAGAGAGAGAGAUAGCGCAGUCCACGAUUUGGUCUGUGGAGGCACUUGGGGAUUUUACCGUGAUAUAACUGGCUGGGUAGAGAAACAAGGAUUAGGAACAGAACGUCAAGCGGAGCCCGGGCUCAGGAGCAGAGACUCGCACACUUAGAUGCUCACACAGUGGUGGGCUGCUGUAAGCAUGUCGGCUUCGACGCACAGAGGGUCCAGGUCUGGGCCUAAGGGUGGGUCUGCCCUUGUAUGCGGCUCCCACAAGGAGGCCCCAGGUUGCUGCAGCUGCUUCCAGCAGCACCUGGUUCUGAGAUUCUCACGGUUUGGCUUCCCUCCCACCCCACCCAAGCACAGAGUCCUAUGACAGUUAGGCCUGUGUUGGAACGCUUGAGUGUUUGGCGUGUGGAGGUCAGAAGAAGGUAUCAGACCCUCUGGAACUGGACUACAGGACCUGGAUACUCGGCAAGAGCAACAAGUCCUCUUAACUGUUGCGCCAACUCUCUAGCCCUGUGACUCUUGAUCAUGUGCUUACAGAAAUGUUUUCACUCAACUCACCAGAUGGCGUUUCCUUUCAUUCCUUGGAGGAGCCUAUCUCACUUCAAAUUGUGAACAACAACAAUGAAAAUAAACGGUUGUAGUUUUCACUUUCCUCUUCA
Molecule: non-coding RNA, 890 nt
Organism: Rattus norvegicus (Norway rat)
Lineage: Eukaryota; Metazoa; Chordata; Mammalia; Rodentia; Muridae
Source: RefSeq, a predicted model, not a curated record